ACUUUCUCUAGAGACCGUUAGCAGUGAUACUGGCUCUGUUUAUCAUCUGUGUGCGCUUUCGUUCCAUGUGAUACAAAGCCUGUGUGAGCAUUGUGAGCUAGAUGAAAGAUGAAAGAACGAACGCCUCGCACACCAGAGAGAAGUGGUGUUCAAAUGAAUGUCAACAAAACAAAGGAGAUGAUCGUGGACUUCAGGAAACAGCAGAGGGAGCACCCCCAUCCACAUCGACGGGACAGUAGUGGAGAGGGUAGAAAGUUUUAAGUUCCUCGGCUUACACUUCACGGACAAACUGAAAUGGUCCACCCACACAGACAGCGUGGUGAAGAAGGCGCAACCUCAGGAGGCUGAAGAAAUUCAGCUUGUCACCAAAAACACUCACAAACUUUUACAGAUGCACAAUCGAGAGCAUCCUGUCGGGCUGUAUCACCACCUGGUACGGCAGCUGCUCCGCCCAUAACCGGAAGGCUCUCCAGAGGGUAGUGAGGUCUGCACAACGCAUCACCGGGAGCAAACUACCUGCCCUCCAGGACACCUACACCACCCGAUGUCACAGGAAGGCCAAAAAGAUAAUCAAGGACAACAACCACCCGAGCCACUGCCUGUUCACCCCGCUAUCAUCCAGAAGGCGAGGUCAGUACAGGUGCAUCAAAGCUGGGACCGAAGAGACUGAAAAACAGCUUCUAUCUCAAGGCCAUCAGACUGUUAAACAGCCAUCACUAACAUUGAGUGGCUGCUGCCAACAUACUGACUCAACUCCAGCCACUUUAAUAAUGGAAAAAUGUAUGUAAUCAAUUUAUCACUUGCCACUUUAUAUAAUCUUUACAUACCCUACAUUACUCAUCUCAUAUGUAUAUACUGUACGCGAUACCAUCUACUGCAUCUGCCAUCUUGAUGUAAUGAAAUGUAUCACUAGCCACUUUAAACAAUGCCACUUUAUAUAAUGUUCUCAUACCCUACAUUACUCAUCUCAUAUGUAUAUACUGUACUCUAUAACAUCUACUGCAUCUUGCCAUCUUGAUGUAAUGUAUCAUUAGUCACUUUAAACAAUGCCACUUCAUAUAAUGUUUUCAUACCCUACAUUACUCAUCUCAUAUGUAUAUACUGUACUCUAUACCAUCUACUGCAUCUUGCCAUCCUGAUGUAAUGUAUCACUAGCCACCUUAAACAAUGCUGCUUUAUAUGUUUUCAUACCCUACAAUACUCAUCUCAUAUGUAUAUACUAUACUCUUACCAUCUACUGCAUCUUGCCUAUGCUGUUUGGCCAUCACUCAUUCAUAUAUUAUUAUGUACAUAUUCGUAUUCAUUCCUUUACACUUGUGUGUAUAAGGUAGUUGUUGUGGAAUUGUUAGGUUAUAUAAGUUGUUAGAUAUUACUGCAUGGUCGGAACUAGAAGCACAAGCAUUUCGCUACACUUGCAUUAACAUCUGCUAACCAUGUGUAUGUGACAAAUACAUUUUAUUUGAUUUGAAUGUAGUAUCUGAAUGCAGUAGAGUUGGCCAGUAGUAGCCUAGAGUUGAUCCAGUAGAAUUACAUUCUUGUAUUUUAUUUGUUCAGUUUAUCAGCUGAUCCUACUGAAGGGUCGUACAUAAUCACAGAAACAUUGCAGAGUUACAUCAAUUUCUGAUACCUUAUCCAAACCAUAACCUCUCUUCACGCCAACUUCUGUAGUCACACCAACUUCCUUAACUCUCUCCAGCCCCCUGCCUUCCUUCUCUCUCCCCCUGCAGUCUCUCCAGACCCUGCCUUCCUCCUCUCUCCCCCUCCACUCUCUCCAGACCCUGCCUUCCUCCUCUCUCCCCCUCCACUCUCUCCAGACCCUGCCUUCCUCCUCUCUCCCCCUCCACUCUCUCCAGCCUCCUGCCCUUUUCCUCUCUCCCCCUCCACUCUCUCCAGCCUCCUGCCCUUUUCCUCUCUCCCCCUCCACUCUCUCCAGCCUCCUGCCCUUUUCCUCUCUUCCUCUUCACUCUCUCCAGACCCUGCCUUCCUCCUCUCUCCCCCUCCACUCUCUCCAGCCUCCUGCCCUUUUCCUCUCUCCCCCUCCACUCUCUCCAGCCUCCUGCCCUUUUCCUCUCUCCCCCUCCACUCUCUCCAGACCCUGCCUUCCUCCUCUCUCCCCCUCCACUCUCUCCAGCCCCCUGCCCUUUUCCUCUCUUCACCUCCACUCUCUCCAGCCCCCUUCCCUUUCCCUCUCUUCCCCUCCAUUCUCUCCAGCCCCCUGCCCUUUUCCUCUCUUCCCCUCCACUCUCUCCCGCCCCCUGCCCUUUUCCUCUCUUCCUCUUCACUCUCUCAGCCCCCUGCCCUUUUCCUCUCUCCCCCUCCAUUCUCUCCAGCCCCCUGCCCUUUUCUUCUCUCCCCCUCCAUUCUCUCCAGCCCCCUGCCCUUUUCCUCUC
Molecule: long non-coding RNA, 2390 nt
Filed under: Salmo salar (Atlantic salmon)
Lineage: Eukaryota; Metazoa; Chordata; Actinopteri; Salmoniformes; Salmonidae
Description: lncRNA (ENSSSAG00000122276.1)
Source: RNAcentral